UACAGAGGGUGCGAGCGUUAAUCGGAAUUACUGGGCGUAAAGCGCGCGUAGACGGUUUUGUAAGUCAGAUGUGAAAUCCCCGGGCUCAACCUGGGAACUGCAUUUGUGACUGUAGAGCUGGAGUGCGGCAGAGGGGGAUGGAAUUCCGCGUGUAGCAGUGAAAUGCGUAGAUAUGCGGAGGAACACCGAUGGCGAAGGCAAUCCCCUGGGCCUGCACUGACGCUCAUGCACGAAAGCGUGGGGAGCAAACAGG
This 253-nucleotide ribosomal RNA is filed under the name uncultured prokaryote. Its description in RNAcentral is "partial 16S ribosomal RNA". It matches the Rfam family "Bacterial small subunit ribosomal RNA", at positions 524 to 776 of the family's 1533-position model. The record is from RNAcentral.